Molecule: long non-coding RNA, 1070 nt
Filed under: Coturnix japonica (Japanese quail)
Lineage: Eukaryota; Metazoa; Chordata; Aves; Galliformes; Phasianidae
Description: lncRNA (ENSCJPG00005012454.1)
Source: RNAcentral
GAGGCUUUUCUGUUUGCAUACUUUCAAGAGGCAUUCAUACAUGCAGUUCCUGUGUUGUCAUUCUGGACUUGCAUAGAGGGGACUGUGGCUUUCAGCUGGAUGUUGUAGAUACAAGGCCACAUUCUGCUUUGGCAUCGCUGCUGAUGUGCUCCCUCCCACUUUCCCAGGUGAUUUCAAAUAUAAUGUCUUAGUGGGGAAGCUUGGAGAGUUUGACUGUCAUGGUGAUGAUCGGAUUUUGAGCUGAAUCUCUGGCACUGUCUUUUUCUUGGUGCUCUGUUUAGAAAUUCUCACUUCUACAAUGCUGUAAUUUCUCACAAAAGUAUUGAAAAUUUAACUCAGAGAUUUUUUUUCAUUUUGAUUCAUAAAUGUUAUUGUAAGAAUUUAAAAUAAAAUUUGGAAUGGCCAGGAAAUGGUCUCAUUUCUGGCCAUAUGAGAUUUUGGUUUUCUUAUAUGAUGUCUAUAAAAGAGUAUAUGUUCUUAAUCUGUGCUUUCUCUUCUUUCCAGGGAGAAAACAGUAGAACACUUACAGUAAUUUAUUUUCUCUUCUCAUUUUGUUAAUGAUAUCUUUUUGAAGGCUAUGCAGUAAUUACUGCCCUCAGAGGUACACACUGAAAUAAAUUAAUGACCAAUGACCAAUAAUCAUUAAGAUGUAAUGAAAUAUAAGCAAAACCAGACACUAGGAACAGCGUUGGAAGCUUAAAACAAAUGGUGUUGAAAAGUGGUGUUAAACAAUGCUAACAAUAUUUUAGCAGUUGAUCAGAAAAAUAUAGUGAGUUCUCAUCUAAUCAUACAUUACAGAUUAUUAGUAAUUUUUCAUUUAUUUCAAACAAUUUUUUUUUUCAACAGGCUAAUAAAUGAACAGGCAAACAAACCUAUACAAGCCAUGGUUACUUUCAAGGAAAUCUACUUUAGAUUUGAUUCAUAGAAAAAUGCAAGUGAUGCGUGCCACUGAUUUGGGUCAUCUGCACGCAAUUCAAAAGGAAAAGGUGAUUUUUUUCAUUGCCUGCCAAGUAAGUGGGAGAGGUGUAGGUAAAAGUGGAUUUAUGCAUAAAACGCAAAACUCCAGAUGA